RNAcentral lists this long non-coding RNA (4376 nucleotides) under Sus scrofa (pig). Its description in RNAcentral is "lncRNA (ENSSSCG00000055549.1)". Lineage: Eukaryota; Metazoa; Chordata; Mammalia; Artiodactyla; Suidae. The record is from RNAcentral.
UGUGUGGAGGGGCUUUCCUAGGUUUGGGAUUGUGUUGCAUGGUUCUUAGGAGAGUCCGAAAAUGUAGCACCAACUCCACAUUGGGUACUGUCAAGGUAUUGAGGCACCUCAGCUAUUGGAUACCUAUUGGUUGAUUUCAUGGAGGACACAAGAUGAAUGAAAUAGGGCUACAUUAGGCAUUGGUAAAAAGCAGAUAUUAGCCAAAAAGGAGUUGUUGUUAGUCAUUCUGCAGCUGUGCUUUGACCUUGGGAGAAACAUGGAAACAUUUUGUGUAUGGCCUCAUCAAUGUCCUGUUGAAAACAAUGUUUUUGUUUGGGUAGGCAGGUCACAUUCUGAUUACCAGCAAAGCUGAUUUUUAUUUUGUUACAGUAUAGUUCUUUUAGAAUAAGGUAAUUUCAGUAGAUGUCUUUAUUCCAUUUGUAAAGUGUUCCAUAGCACCUAAUCAGGAACAUUAUUGAUUAAUGAUGAGUAAAUCUAUAAUUUAGUCAAACAGUGGAAACUUGAUUGAAAUCCAGAGUUAAUAUGUUUUUGGGGAAGUGCUAAUUAUAUUUGUUUAUGAGAUAUUUUACCAUCUGUUGGAUCCUAGAGAUGCAACAAGUCAUAAGAACAUGUGUUCUCCACUAGCUCAUAAUCUAGAAGAGAAAAGAGAGAAGUAAACAGUAAUUCCGCCCUAUUGGCAUAAAUGACAUAAUGGCAUGCGCACAAAUUUUGUUUAGACAAGUUGGGAAAACUUCCCCAAUAUUGUAAAAAUUAAAUUGGGACUUGGAGUUUUAUAAAAUUCUGUUAAGGGAAAAGAAAAGGUUGAAUGCAAGGGGAAGGCUGAGGGAUAAACAUAGAGAUAAAUGUUAAAGUAUUAUCCACAUGUUUUAUUUUCAAUAAGUAAUACUUUUCUCCCAAAGCACCCCAGUGGAAAUUAAAAUACAAAUUAAAUCUAUAGGAGAUUUUUGAAAAUUUUGGCACAUUGAUAAGAAACUUUUUAAGAAGAUAUAUUGGUAACAUUGAGAACUGGCAAGGAUGCAAUGAAAUGAGCAAGCUCAAAAAUUACAGAAGGGAGAACAAAUCGCUAUAACAUUCCUGGUGGAUGAUUCAGCAGUUUGCAUUAAGUGUUUCAGAAACAUUUGAAUCCUUUGGCCUGAUGACUCUCCUUCUUGGAAUUUAUAUGAAGAAACUAAUCAACUGUGUAUACAAAGUCUUACACAUGAAGAUUUUUAUUACAAGUAAUAUACAAUAGCUAAGAGACUGGAAACAAUAUAAGUAUUUGACAGGACAUAAAGCAGUAAAUAAAUUAUGGUACAGCCAUGCACUGGGAUGCUUCACAGUCAUUAGAAAAUAUGUCUAUGAAGAACAUUUAAUGACAGUGCAACGUGCUCAUAAUAUCAUAAGGACUGCAGUAGAGUAUACUAACAUGUACUUUAACCUCAAGAGACCUAAGUUCUUGUCAUAUCUUUGAUGUAUAGCCUGGGAAAAAGUUACUUAUGUUAUUUGAGCUUCAGCCUCUUCAUCAGUAAAAUGGGAAAAAUAAUAAUACUUGCUCCAUAAGGUUGCUGUGAAGGCUGAAUGGAAUGAUAUUGAAACAAUUUAGUGCCUGACACAAUGGUAAAGGCUGAAUAAAUGAUAUGAUGGGUGCUGAUAAUAUACUUUCAAAUAGCUUUUUUUUUUUUUUUUCCUCUGUCUCAUGGUAAUCGUUCUUCUCCUGGCUCCUGCUGCUAUUAGCUGUUAUUUGUAUGAUUUCUGUCUGGUGUAACAUGAACUUGUCUGGGUAACAACCCUAGUGUAUCCCUAUAUUCUGUGUGCGGAGCAAAUUGUAAAGGCUUCAGAUGCCCACAGAUACCUUUCAGAGACUUUUCUGAUCUUUGAGUUUUGCUGGAUAUCUACCCUCUGAAAAAUUAAGUAUUAUGUUAUCUAGUAGGCAAUUUUUAUGGCACUGCUAGGUUGGGGUGGAGUUAAAAAAAAAAGCAAAUAACCUAUAUAAUACCUAUGUAAUACUAAGUAUACAGGCAUUAUACAUUUAUACAUAGGCUAACUCAUUUAAUUCUCAUAGAAACUACAUGAGGCAGGACUGUUAUUAUUCUCAUUCAGCAGAUAAGAAUAAGGUGCUAUGAGGUAACUCCACAUAUAAUUAGUGGAUGAACCAGGAUUCAAGUUGUGUGGUCUGGCCCUGUAGUCCAUGUUUCAUUAACACACAAAACUGGCCUCAAGAGAGACUGGACUGUAAAAUCCAUGCAGACAGACAUUAUAUCAGAUAUAUAUAUAUAUAUAUUAUUAAGCCUCCGCUUCCUAUCACUUCCUAUUGGUACAAGGUCACAACUCAAUAAAUCUUGUUCAAAGCAUGACUGAUUGGCCAAACUGAAGAGCGUGAACAUGGCAUGUUACAAAUUCAGUCAGUUGUAUGCAGCACUCCUGAUAGUCAUUCUGCAGCUGCCUUUGACCUCCUGGACUCUUGGGUCAAGUACCUACUGUUCCUUAUUGUAAUUAAUAGCUGUUGUGCUGUAGCAUUUCUUUUUGUGGUAGGAAAGUUAUUUGCUAGUCAUUUGGCCAGUCAUGUCUAAAUCUUGAAACAACCAACCUAAAACAAUGAGAUGGCUUCCAAAUUAUUUUACUUAUUUUCACUGUAUAAAUACUACAGUUUUAUCUACCCUUGCUCCAAAUGUUUGCUAACAAAACAAGUGUAGUUUUUGUCCCACUUCAUGCUUAGAAAAUUCACAGCUUUGUGGUGACAUGUGGCUACAGAUCUCAAAGCUCAGAGCAUGAUUUUGGCUCUUGUUUUCUGUUUGCUUGACUGAAUAGUUUAUUAUAACUAUGAUUUUAAAAUUCCUUAGAAACAGGAAAUAGUCUUUGCCAGGAGUACAACUGCUUUCCAUCUAAAAUGCCAGCAUUUCAGUGUCUUGCAACAUUUUAAUUACUUUGCUUAUGGAACCAAACACAUGCACAAAACACUGAAGGCAAAGGAAAGUCUCCCUCACCAUAAUUACUUUUUUGCAAAGGAUUACUUACAUUUUCAUAAUUAUUCAAGUGUUUUUGUACAGGGAAUUUUACAUUUUAAAUGGAAAAUUAUACCUCCAUAAAAGCCACUGCAAAUUAGCAGCUUUAAUAUAGCCUUCGAAUUCUCAGUACAGUGUGCUGUUGAUGCUGCUGUUGGAUGACACACUGAUUGCUUAGCAAGAUAGCUUUGCUGUAACAACCUGUUAAAUUUGAGUUAUUGCCAGAAGAUUUGUUGGCCUUUAUUGCAACAUUCUGUUUUCAAAGGAAGUCCAAGCUGUAAAAACUAUUUGUCAAUAGUUUUAAGAAGCUCAGAAUUUCCCCAUGUGGGCAGCAAUGAGGGUUUGGGCUCAUAGUCUUUCUCUGUAGAGGAUGUAGCGAUAGGCUGAGAUGUAUAAAAGGAGAAGGAGGAAAAUGCUCAAUAAGAUUUCUGUACCUACAUUAGAGACAAUUGAUAAAUUUAUAUGUACCUCUGGUAUUAGUGUGCCAAAUAGAGUUCUUAUGUUUAAAUUAUAUAUUAAGUACAAAUAAGAUUACUAAUAAUUAUGCAUUUAUAGACUAGAAUAUAAAUACACAUUAAAUCUUAAAAUUAAUGUUAAUGAAUAGAAAUGAGCAGAAAUCAAAAUAAAAAUCAAAGAGUUCUCAGGUGGCCCAGCAGGUUAAGGAUCCAACUUUGUCACUGCUGUAGCUUGGGUUGCUGCACUGGCGUGCGUUCAAUCCCUGGCUCAGAACUUCUGCAUGGUGCAGGCAUGGCCAAAAAAUAAUAAAAUAAAAUAAAAUAAUCUAUUCUAAGCUCACUACCAAGAAAAUGGCAGAGUUCAGCAGUAUGAGCUCUUACUAGGAAGUUAGGUAAGUUCAUGCUCUGAUAAUAUACAAAUGGAACAUGAUUUCUAACUUCAAACUUGUGAAGAGUUACUUAUUGUUUCCAGUUAAUCACUGGUGUUGACUAAACCUUUGUUGGAUAUAAUCAUGAGAAGAAGUAAAUAUCACACUUGUUCCAUUGUCAGUAGAUGACAGAGCAAGUAAAAUAGAAAAUCAGGAAUUUUAGCUUAGGGAUUCUUUUUUUUUUUUUUUUCAAAGAAAAGGAGAACCCCAUAGUGGUCAUUCAUAUGUGAUACAUCCCUGCAAAUUCUUAUGAAAAGUCAUCGAUGAAAACCCUUUAAAUAAUAGCAGAAUAUUCAUUUGAGGGAGUUCCUGACGUGGCUCAGUGGUUAAUGUAUCCAUGAGGACGUGGGUUUGAUCCCUGGCCUUUCUCAGUGGGUUGAGGAUCCGCCGUUGUCAUGAGCUGUAGCGUAGGUCGCAAAUGUGGCCCAGAUCUCACAAUGCUGUGGCUGCGGCAUAGGUCUGCAGUGGAAGCUCUGAUGCGACUCCUAGCCUGGGAAAUUCCACAGGUGGGU